UGGGGAAUUUUGCACAAUGGGGGAAACCCUGAUGCAGCGACGCCGCGUGAUUUAGAAGGCCUUCGGGUUGUAAAAAUCUUUUCUAUGGGAAGAAAAUGACAGUACCAUAGGAAUAAGGACCGGCUAAUUACGUGCCAGCAGCCGCGGUAAUACGUAAGGUCCGAGCGUUGUCCGGAAUCAUAGGGCGUAAAGGGUACGUAGGCGGGUAAGCAAGUUAGAAGUGAAAUCCUAUAGCUCAACUAUAGUAAGCUUUUAAAACUGCUCAUCUUGAGGUAUGGAAGGGAAAGUGGAAUUCCUAGUGUAGCGGUGAAAUGCGCAGAUAUUAGGAGGAAUACCGGUGGCGAAGGCGACUUUCUGGCCAUAACCUGACGCUGAGGUACGAAAGCGUGGGUAGCAAACAGG
Molecule: ribosomal RNA, 402 nt
Filed under: bacterium
Lineage: Bacteria
Description: partial 16S ribosomal RNA
Rfam family: Bacterial small subunit ribosomal RNA
Source: RNAcentral